GCCUCGGUACUCCAACGGUAGAGGACGGUCUCAAAAACCGUAUAGUGUCGGUUCGAAUCCGACUCGAGGCA
RNAcentral lists this transfer RNA (71 nucleotides) under Actinomycetota bacterium. Its description in RNAcentral is "Actinobacteria bacterium tRNA-Leu". It matches the Rfam family "tRNA". Rfam says of the family: Transfer RNA (tRNA) molecules are approximately 80 nucleotides in length. Their secondary structure includes four short double-helical elements and three loops (D, anti-codon, and T loops). Lineage: Bacteria; Bacillati; Actinomycetota. The record is from RNAcentral.